This 207-nucleotide ribosomal RNA is filed under the name uncultured bacterium. RNAcentral's name for it is "partial 16S ribosomal RNA". It matches the Rfam family "Bacterial small subunit ribosomal RNA", at positions 568 to 774 of the family's 1533-position model. The record is from RNAcentral.
CGCGUAGGCGGUCUGUUAAGUGGGAUGUGAAAUCCCCGGGCUUAACCUGGGAAUUGCAUUUCAAACUGGCCGACUAGAGUACGGCAGAGGGAGGUAGAAUUUCCUGUGUAGCGGUGAAAUGCGUAGAUAUAGGAAGGAAUACCAGUGGCGAAGGCGGCCUCCUGGAUCGAUACUGACGCUGAGGCGCGAAAGCGUGGGGAGCAAACA